CGUUCCCGGGUCUUGUACACACCGCCCGUCACACCAUGGGAGUGGGUUUCACCAGAAGUAGCUAGUCUAACCGCAAGGGGGACGGUUACCACGGCAGGGUUCGUGACUGGGGUG
This 114-nucleotide ribosomal RNA is filed under the name uncultured bacterium. Its description in RNAcentral is "partial 16S ribosomal RNA". It matches the Rfam family "Bacterial small subunit ribosomal RNA", at positions 1369 to 1482 of the family's 1533-position model. The record is from RNAcentral.